CUUAGUAGCGGCGAGUGAAGCGGCAAAAGCUCAAAUUUGAAAUCUGGCACCUUCGGUGUCCGAGUUGUAAUUUGAAGAUUGUAACCUUGGGGUUGGCUCUUGUCUAUGUUUCUUGGAACAGGACGUCACAGAGGGUGAGAAUCCCGUGCGAUGAGAUGCCCAAUCCUAUGUAAGGUGCUUUCGAAGAGUCGAGUUGUUUGGGAAUGCAGCUCUAAGUGGGUGGUAAAUUCCAUCUAAAGCUAAAUAUUGGCGAGAGACCGAUAGCGAACAAGUACAGUGAUGGAAAGAUGAAAAGAACUUUGAAAAGAGAGUGAAAAAGUACGUGAAAUUGUUGAAAGGGAAGGGUUUGAGAUCAAACUCGAUAUUUUGUGAGCCUUGCCUUCGUGGCGGGGUGACC
RNAcentral lists this ribosomal RNA (397 nucleotides) under Meyerozyma sp. RNAcentral describes it as "eukaryotic LSU rRNA". It matches the Rfam family "Eukaryotic large subunit ribosomal RNA", at positions 79 to 473 of the family's 3401-position model. Lineage: Eukaryota; Fungi; Ascomycota; Pichiomycetes; Serinales; Debaryomycetaceae. The record is from RNAcentral.